AUUGAACGCUGGCGGAAUGCUUUACACAUGCAAGUCGAGCGGCAGCGCGGGGGCAACUCUGGCGGCGAGCGGCGAACGGGUGAGUAAUACAUCGGAACGUACCUAGUUGUGGGGGACAACACAUCGAAAGAUGUGCUAAUACCGCAUACGACCUACGGGUGAAAGGGGGGGAUCGCAAGACCUUUCGCAGUUGGAGCGGCCGAUGGCGGAUUAGCUAGUUGGUGAGGUAAAGGCUCACCAAGGCGACGAUCCGUAGCUGGUCUGAGAGGACGACCAGCCACACUGGGACUGAGACACGGCCCAGACUCCUACGGGAGGCAGCAGUGGGGAAUUUUGGACAAAGGGGGCAACCCUGAUCCAGCCAUUCCGCGUGAGUGAAGAAGGCCUUCGGGUUGUAAAGCUCUUUCGGCAGGAACGAAACGGUGGGGGCUAAUAUCCUUCAUCAAUGACGGUACCUGAAGAAGAAGCACCGGCUAACUACGUGCCAGCCGCCGCAGUAA
RNAcentral lists this ribosomal RNA (500 nucleotides) under uncultured bacterium. RNAcentral's name for it is "partial 16S ribosomal RNA". It matches the Rfam family "Bacterial small subunit ribosomal RNA", at positions 29 to 523 of the family's 1533-position model. The record is from RNAcentral.